AAGAGGAUACACCUGUUCCCAUUCCGAACACAGAAGUUAAGCUCUUUAGCGCCGAUGGUACUUGGUGGGAAGCUGCCUGGGAGAGUAGGACGUAGCCGCUUA
RNAcentral lists this ribosomal RNA (102 nucleotides) under Paraclostridium sordellii. The record is from RNAcentral. Lineage: Bacteria; Bacillati; Bacillota; Clostridia; Peptostreptococcales; Peptostreptococcaceae.